AGGCGCCCGGCUCCCCACCCCAAGUCUCCCGCGGGCUCCUGGCGGUGGACGCCGCUCUCAGCCGGAACAGCUAGCUCCAGUCCACGCUGCGGGUCUGCUCCUGGGGAGGCCUAGCAUAGGUGGGGGGGUGUCCAGCCCCUUACCUGGGCCUUCCCCAGACACACCCAAGUGGAAGGGGACCUCGGCCAGUGAAUCAGCCGGCCCAAGGAGGGGUUUGGAGUUACAGACGAGGAGAACCGUUGGACCCGAGAGAGGUGGGGUUCAGGGCACGCGGCCCUCGGGGAGGAAGCGAAAUGAACCCUGCUAUACACACUUGGGCCGCUGGAGGUUUGGCGACCCUGUUAAGGUGUGCCUGUCCCACAGGCCGCACUCUUCCGACCCUUGGCAUCAGAGAAGGAGCCUUCGAACUUGGACAGUCCAGGCCCACCCAGCCUGGCCUGACAGCUGCAGAGCAAGAAGCACCUGAUGACGGGACUCAGGCAGAGUUCACCUGAGCAUCCUGAUGGCGCCAGCUCGGCCCCCAGCCAACCAGAGCAGUGCCACCUGUUGAUUGAGGAGCAUGUACCGAGAGCCCUAGAUGUAAAUCCUCUAAUGGUCAAUUCUAAGAAUGGUCUUAAAGUAAAAACAGAAGAAAAGUAAAGGAUUGAGCAUUUGGCAAGACAAAGAAUUUCACGAACAUUGAUUUCCUAAUGAAGAUGUGAUAGACUCCAUUUUUACAAAAACAAAAUUGACAAACAGGUAAGCUUCUUUUUCUUUUUCUUUUUUUAAAUUUAUUUUUUAUUUUUAAUUUUUUUUUUUUUGGUUUCUCAAGUCUUAGCCAUGCUCCACACUGUAUUGAACUAACAGAGACAAAAGAACUACUUAUACCCAUCAUUAAGAAGAAUCAGUUUGUGCCAAAACCACCAUGUACAACUUUGUCCUGUUGCAUUUAUAUGAAAUAAUACAUAUGCCUUGUAGUUAGGUCACCUAGGUCUAAAGAAUGCCGGGUGUGUGGGAGAUUAAUUUAAAUUAACUUUGACGAAUAAGGGUAGUGUAACCCCUUGAAAGAAGAACUCCAUUUAUAAUCAGGAUUGAUGGUAAAUGUGCCCCACUAAGAUUUGAAAGUUUAUUCUUAAAAGGAUCUGUUUACUUGGGUUACCUUGUCUUGUCACCCUUGAUCUACCGAGCUGUGUUCAUCUGUUUAAGACAUGUGAAUAGUGUAGGUUCCUUGCAUAAUAAUACCCGAAUUAGGGCACUUCAGAUGUAAUUUAAAUCAGAACUUUACCCCAUUUGACAAUAAAGAAGUCACUAUAAAUCAAGGAAAUGAUGUUCUCUGGAUCAGGCUGGCCCACUUAUUAGGAAGAUUGGGCAGGGAAAUGCAUUCUGAGUUUCCAUGUGCAGGCACUGGUGACUCUCUAAGCCUGUCUCUUCUCCCCCAUCUGGGUAGAAGUCUUGCGUAGUUCAGGAGUUGAUGCUGUGCCCACUUUGUGGUUGACUUGCAGUAACAAGCAAACCUUUGUCAGGGUCCUCAUUAUUACCUGUUUCAUCUUCACUGCAUCACUGUUCAGGUUCUUGGGCUGUCACAAUCCUGUUACAGUUCAGUAGGUGAGGGUGAAAUCUACAGGCCAGGUCUAAAGCUGAUGCUGUGUUUGGGUUUCCCACGGGUGUCAACUUAGAAAAGUGUAUCACAGAGAAGCUGAUGUGGAUGGGAUCUCUGGCUCCAUUUGGUGCCUGAAAACACAUUGUAUGAGAUAAUCUAUUUAAAAUAUUGCCACUUUAGGGAGUUCCCUGGUGAGCCAGUGCUUAGGACGCCACACUUCCACUGCAGAGGGCGUGGGUUUAGUCCCUGGUUGGGGAACUAAGAUCCCACAUGCCCCACGGAGCGGCCAAAAAAAAUAAACAAAAAAUAAAAUAUGCCACUUUAAAACUGUAUUUCGGGAACUCUCUGGUGGUCCAGUGGUUGAGUGGUUGAGACUUCACCUUCCAGUGCAUGGCAGGGGGUGGGGGGUGGGCGGCUCAGGUUGAAUCCCUGGUUGGGGAGCUGGGAUCCCACAUGCCUUGGGGCACAAAAAACCAAAACAUAAAACAGAAGCAAUAUUGUAACAAAUUCAAUAAAGACUUUAAAAAAAAAAAACACCUUAUUUCAUGUAUCUACUUU
Hippopotamus amphibius kiboko is the source of this 2137-nucleotide long non-coding RNA. RefSeq lists it as uncharacterized. The transcript is spliced from 3 exons. NCBI's taxonomy places the organism in Eukaryota, Metazoa, Chordata, Mammalia, Artiodactyla, Hippopotamidae. The record is from RefSeq and is a predicted model, not a curated record.